AAAUUAGCGUCGAUGAGUUCGCGGCGAUGACGGAACGGUGGAAAUCAAAACAUGGGGACGUUUUUUAUUUAUUUAUUUCUUUUCGUUAUUUGGAGGUGAAUUGCAAAAAAUAAAAUAAAGAUCUUACUAACUAUUCCCACAUUUUCGGGAAUUUCUCCACUCGUAGAGCGUGACCACUUUUAAGGACAUUUCUUUAGGGAAACGGCGGGGCAGACGUCAAGACAUUCGUUGGGCCACGGGUGACAGUCGGUCGGGCGGGGCAGCAGGUGGGACAGUAAGCGUGGGGAGCCAAGUUUUCAAGUGCAUAUUUCAUAUACUUUCUUGAGUCCUAUGAACUUAAGUCGUACAUAGGUAGUUAGAUAUUUUUUUAAACGUUAUUGCAUUUUUUUGAAUUCAAUAAUGAAAGAAUAAAUUAUUCAAAAUUCCAUCGUUCCUCCGUUCCUCCUACACUAGCGAUAUUCUUGUCGAUUAAUAUUGUCAGAGUAAUCUUUUCUGCAAAAUACCACAAAUUAGUCCAACGAUAUCGAUUGGCACAAUCAUCGAUUAAAGUUUAAAAAAUGACGACCGGCCGCAAUAAAUUGAAUUUCUAGUUGGUUAAAGUAACGUUUAUUGAAGAAGAUCACAUAAUCGAGUACGACUAAUAUCACAGGUGAAUCACAAUCUUUAUGUUUCAGAUUCCUGGCCAACUAUUUCCUGCCGUCUAUCACUUUCUGCAUCCAGGACACGUAUUUACUGACGCGCGUGUAGAUUCCGGGCAAACCUGGACGUGCACAGCCGAUCCCCGUGGACACCACGCCCACCAGAUGAUGCUCCUUGGACAUCAGCGGACCGCCAGAAUCCGCCUGUGAAGGAUCGGUAGGACCUCUCGCACGCCUCGUUGUUCCAGAUCUUAACGGUAGCCUUGCGCAGUACAUCGGAUCGAUCGUUUUCCGCUUGGUUCUCGUGCGUCCAGCCCCAACCGGAAACUGUUCCGUACUCCUGCUCCAGACUUCGGUGCCCCUCCUCGGAUCCCACGCAGCUGGGCUGGAUGUGUGAAGAGAAUCGGAUUGGCUGUACCAGCUCCAGGAGGGCUGUAAAAGAAUAAAAUACCAAUUUGCAAUAGCUUAAGGAAUACUAAGAAUAAUAAGUAUUAUUUGAUUCGUCUCUGAUUCAUUAUGGUUAAUGUUAAUAUCCUUUGUUGAAACUAUUUCCUACCUAUGUAUUUCUGUUUGUUUUUUUAAAACCUAAGCGCAUAUUUUUAAUGGUGUUUUACUAGAUUAAAAUUUUUUAUUCAUUUUACUGAAAAAUAAUGUCAUGUUAAUGUCAUAUUGUUGAUUUAUGAUUCAGUUCUGUACAUAUGGAAAAUAAUUGAACCUGCAAUUACCCCUUAAAAAACACACAUACCUAUAUCGUGUUUCACAUCGUUGCAGUCGUAUUGCGGAUGGGGCACAAUGUUCUUGAAGUCCACCCUCAGUGCAUCCGGACCGUUGCCAAUCCCGUUGAGGUACUCCCUGAUGCUAUGCAAACCCACAACUCCUUGGAUUUGAGCUGGUUUCAUGAACUGCUGCAGCCCAUUGCAGAUGCAAUGUCCCGCCGUGAGGAUCCAUCGCUCCGAGAUGAUAGUGCCGCCACAAAAGUGACCACCACGACGCAUCAGACUGACCAUGUAGGGCAUUUCGUUGCGCUCCGCCUCACUACCUCCCACGAUUUUUGGAUUUCGAACCGAGCAUGGCUGGUUGCUAACUGUCAUGGGAGUCAGAGGAAUUUCAAUUUGCGUGAGUUCAUGAUAAGGAGUGUUGAAAAUAAUUAGUUAAUAUAAGCAGAACGCAUUUAUUUAUAUUUCUCAUAAUCUAGUAAACUUUUCCUUAUGCACGUUUUAUGAUUAUACAAGUUUUGAUAGAAUCUUGAAAUAUUUGUAGGUUGAGUUCUUAUCAAAUAGGGAAGCAUAAACUGUUGCAAUUGGAACAUUAGAUGUUAGAUUUAUCCAGUGAAUUUAGCAUAUAAAUCCACAAUGCUAAAAGAUCAUGCUUUCUUAAUUGAUAUAAACUAACCUAAAAUAUUAAGGACUGCAAAAAUGAAUGGAAUAUUAAACACAAGUUAAAAGUUAAAAGGUAGUUCCCAGGAAUCCUAAUUUAGGAACUAUAAUUAUUUUAUUUUUCAUAUUAUAUUUGACUUAUUACUCUUUUCGUCACAUUUGUUCAAUCAACUCACAAGCAAUUUGGGAUUGUGCACACUUCACUAGCGACAGAACCGCGACUACGAAUACGAUUUUCAACAUUUUCUGUGUGCACAACCAGUGUUCUUAGCCCCGAAAAAAAACCCGUUAAGCACGGCUCAAGCUUAAACGAAACUGCCACGAAUAUUCUGUGCGGCAAUUAAUUUAUAUAUAGGUGUCUGGGCGUCCAGCGCCUCUCCGUUCCACUGACUUACUUCACUGUCGUCCGGAGUUCUAUGCGGAUUAGCCGGAAAGCUCGCUCUCUCGGCCUGAUAACAAACGGAAGUCGCAGCCGGGCCUUUGGCACCUGUUGCCUCAGCUGAGAGCUUUUUUUGCGCUGCACUACCUGUCUCAUCGCCUUUUUUUUUUUUGCUGGUAUUGUGGGCAUGGGUGCCAUGUGCACACGUUAUGGCAUUUCAAUUGCUCCAAGGGGGGGGGGGGUGAAUUAAGGAGCUGCCGAAAAGUCGAAAACAAACCCAAAAGUAAACAAUGGCCGAAAUAAAGUUUUGUGUGUUUUGCGUUUUAUGACCCAGCGAAGUUCAUGACAUUGAAAAGUGCGCGACAAAAGGUGUGACAAUAUUUAUGCUGAAUUUUCGAUGCCACCACUACGAGUUUAUUGCACCUCUAUCCUUAUUUUAGUACAUUAUUAUUGCGAUUAGCACGUAUUUAGGGUGUUAUUGAAAUUGUUGUAUGGUUAAUAAAGAAAAGGGUGUAAAUAUUAUUAUGACUUGUUAAUCAACUGAAAUGCUAUUGCAUAACUACAGAAAAUUUUAUAAAUGAUUCAAAACCAACUCUUUUGAUUUUAAAUUUCUUUUUGCUUGCAUGUAGUAUCUUUUAUUUCUUCAGUUCUUAUGAUUUACAAUGCAUUUUUGUGUUCCUACAAGAUCUAAUUUAUCUAAUCUAUCUUAAGAAAGUUAAAAAAGUUUCUAGGAUUUGCGUAAUCGUUACAGUUAUGUCAUUGCCUGCAUUUGACACAAUUAGUUCGCACAUUGCAGCUAACCUUAGACGUCAUAUUUCCAUCAGUUUAGACCUGGUAGUUAGUAAUCGGGCCUGUUAUGCAAAUUAGGAUGUCUGCGCUGCAUAUGAAUACUGUGAUGGGACCAAAAAUUAAUUGAAAUUCAAUGUCGGCGCAAUCAAUGUAAUAUUAGCCGCUUGACAUUAACAUUGCCCUUAAAACUAACGCAUGGCCCACACACUCAAUGCAAUUGGCGACAUGGGAAGGUUGAUACACCAUCCAUCGCAUAUCAAAGUGAUAAAUGCAGGUGGAAGUGCAUUUCUAUGACAUAAUAUGUAUUAUAAGCAAUAGCAUGCCAAAAAUGAUGGGUAUUGAAGUGGGCAAAGCAGGAAUUGGAAUUGAAACUGAAAGUUAAGACGGAGUAUGACAAAUCUACAGACCAAGGCAUUAAUAAUUCAUUAUCCACAAUCUCGAUUCUCAGUCGGAGCACACAAAUCAGUUCAGUGGAUCAGACAAGUAUGCCAGAAUUACUAAUUGAUUUCAUGACUUUGGUUCCUUAACCGAAAACCAGAUAGCAUCCCAAUCGAGUUCAUUGAUCGCGGCAGCUCUGUUUCGCACUAAAUGCUAAUUCACUAAACAAAUCGCCCAUAAAAAACACUAUAUAUCCAUUGUCUGCCGUUGACUGGCGUUGAUACCAAAUAACCAAAUAUAAACAAUAUUAACAAACACGAGUGCGGAGCUCAACUGAAACAAGUUUCAGGCGCAUUGACACCCGCCUUUGGGCGAAACUUGGGCGCAUUCAAUGUGAAGGUCGCUUCGAUUUGAGGUACUUGAGUUAUGCUUGACAAUUGUCAUAUUAUUCAGCUAUUUCGCUACACUUUUGUUUUCAUUUCGACGAAGUUCAACGACGCCGCUCUCAGGUGACUAAUUGCAAGGGGGAAGUCUUUGGACGUCGCUAAUGCGGGUGUGUUUGGCGCUAUAGGAAAUGUUUUGGGGCGCAGUGAACCCAUUUAACUGGCAGGUAUUUAUAGGAAUCACGAAUGGGUGGUAGUGGGUUAUAAACAAAAACAUUUAGCAUAGAUGCUUCAGUUAUGAAAUUUAACUGUUUAUUAUCUUCUUAAUUGUGACUUAAUUAAACUAGGUAUGUAAUUAUAGUUUAUAGUUUUCGUAGUGAGUAGGCUUUAAAUAAAACAUUACGUUAUAAAAUGGAACUAUCUACAAUCGUAUAAAUUGCAAUUUAACUAUAUAUAAUUAUAGCUUAUAGUUUUCGAUUGAAUUUCGAGUGAGUAGUGGUUUCUAAAUAAAACACAAGGAUGCUUAAGUUAUGAAAUUGAACUGCCUAGAAUCAUAUAGAUCACAAUUUCAGUAAUUUAUCAGUUUAUAUCUUUAAUUAAUGGGAUAUAAAUUGCUUCUAAAUAUUACAUAUUAAUUAUGUAUAUAUAUAAAUAUUUAUACUUGUUCUUUUAUUUUCGCUAACCAAAUUAUCUAGUUUCACUACAAAAAAGUCUUUGUUACAAAGAUUCAACUUGCUUAACAAAGAUUCAGAAAAAAGGUAUACAUUUAUUUAAUUCAAAAAAUUAUAUCGCUGGAACUUAAAUAUAAAUAUUAAUAAUAAGUAUUUCAAUUUAUCUAUAAAAUCGUAUGUAUAAUUAGCAAUGCUUUUUAUUUAAAGUAAUUAAAUUUGAAAUCUCUAUAUAUUUUUUAAACAUAAUUAAUGAAAUAAAUCUUAACUUACCAAAACGAAGUGCUUUGAAAUCGUCAGCGUUGAGGGGAUCACUUAUCUGGUUUCAAUUAUUGCUCGAAAGCCAACUGGUAAACAAUGAGGGCUUUCUGAGCAACAAUCAAAAUUAUAUAAGUGUCCGUGAAGGAACUCUUAUAUAAAACAGCCAAACUUAGCCAAUGGCUUAACACAAUUUUGGGCAUCACAAUGCACUGACCAUUUGAAUGUUAUUCUUAUUCUAGGCAGGCCAACACGUCUGCUCGGUGUGAGAGCCGCACCGGAACUGCAAUACGCUUGUCCAGCCGCUGACGUUGUAUCCUUGUGAUCCUGGCACUAGCUGCCAGGCAACACGAACGCAGCCAGCGCCUUCGCGAACCGAGCGGAAGCCAACAAGGAAGCAACAUCCCUCGUUGUCGGCGGCUUUUAUCCUUUGGGCCUAUGCGGCGUAUGCGUGUUAUGCAAACGACCGCAGCUCGGCUUUCGCUCGGCUGCCUUUUCGAUGGCGACCAAUGAGAGUCCUGGCAUUGGUUUUUUAUUGCCGAGGACCUACACUAUUCCUUGUUGCGCAGGCGUAAAUUAUGUCAAAUUUUGAAUUUUACUUUUUAGUUUAUUUCGUUUCGCUUAUGGAGAUACAGAUUGUUUCAAUUUAUUCUUGGCUAAUUUAAGCAGUUUUUAAUUGCUUAAAUGGUUUUCAUUUAGUUCUUUUAAUGGCAUUUGACCGAUAUUGUAUGUUUCAGUUUGGAAGUUCUUAAAAGGUUUAACUAUUCUCCGCAUAAAAUUAGUUAGUCAGUUGGAAAUAGAUAGAAUAAAUAUAAACGAUUGGUAUGGGUAAAAUAAUUCUAUAAAUUGAAAAGCAUCCGAAGUUAAAUGUUUUUUUGUAUUUCAAUUUUAUUUCAAAUUUGCUUUUUUAGGAAUGUAACUAUAUUCGUUGGUUUAUGAUGUAAUAACUUUAGUGACUCUCGCAUAUAUACAUAUAUCAGUUGGAUAGAAUAGCUAUUCUUUCCUAUAUACUGAUGCAUAUCAAAUUUUUAAAUUUGAAACUAAUGAAAUUUUAGUAUUCUAAUUGGUGUGAAUUGCAUGCGUUUUUUUAUGAUGGAUGCUAACUUUUGAAUUUAUCAAGAUUUAUGUAAAAUUAUUUCUUUCACUUCAGCUUAAGAUACUUUUGGAAUUUUAUUAUUGUGUAGGUAUGAUGAAACUAUUUUGAUUUCGUGAACCUUUUGUAUGGCAAUUGUACUUGGAACACGCAAUGCCUUAGAGAAUACCCCACAUCAGUUUGUUUUUAGCCCCACCGCUCCCCAAUUAUUUCUAAACAGCCACAACUAAAACACAAUCAACACAUUCGCAAACUAAAUUUCCAUGAGCUGACACUUACAUUUUAUUUGCGAAAUUGUGAUUGACAAGCUGUUGACACGCUUUUAAGAGGUCUAAGGAUGAAGUAGCCGAGGAAUAGCCCCUUUCGCGGCUGGGAGAUUUUUCGCAAUUAAAUAUUGAAGCCAGCACACGGGCAACAUGUAACAUUGCAGCAAUCGCAAAGAACUGGGGAAAUGCAGUCAUUGCAACCGAAGCGCAUCAAAUAUGCUGGCUAAAUUAUUUAUGAGAUUGUUCCGCAGGCGAGGCCUGUGCAACAUUUCAAUAUGCUAAUUACUUUUCGACUUGGCCGGGAAGGCAGCGAAAGGGCCAAACGAAUGCAAGUGGGCGCCACUUAAGCCGAAAGGAAAAGGUAGAGCAAGUGCUAAUCAUUGCUAGAUGCCUGCCACCGAUUUCCCAGGUGGAUGCAAGUUCCGUAACAAAUGCCAAAAUCUAUCGAAGGCGACACUUCAGCGGAAAUAAACAGCAAAGAAAAGGCAGGCGGCAAUGGAUUGGAAUGGAAAGGCAGGCAUGGAAAAUGUGUCUAAAAUUUGGAGAAGUAAACUUCGCAGACCUCCUGAUGUCAGGUCGCAGUGCAAACCCUUAUCCAUCUAUUCCGCGGCAUUGUUUUUGCGUGACAAUUGGGCCAAUUUAUUAUUCAUUAGGUUAAAAAGUCACAGCGCAACAGAACACACAACACGAACUGAACCCAAACUGACAGCCAGCCAAGUCGCAGCCAUUUGUAAUGGUUGCGCCAAGAGGCUGGAAGGGAUUCCUUGAUGGAUCCCGGCAAGCUCUGGCAUUUCAACAAUUUAACCUGCAACUUUUUUGGGGAAAUGCUCUAAUUGAUUUGCUCGGAAAAAUCCUGUUUACCUUCCUGCUCUCCCAACUUUUGGUUCAAGUUUAAUUCCGACAGUUGCGGUUCGAGAUUCAUUGUUGGCUAAUUAGAUUGUGAUCAGGUAAACAAAAGGAAACCAAAGUUGGGACAUGAGAUACAGCUGGACUAUUGUUAUAGAUUUUGUUAAAUAACAAGUUUAGAAAACUAAGGACACUACAAAAAUUUGGUGAAUUC
Molecule: non-coding RNA, 7288 nt
Organism: Drosophila melanogaster (fruit fly)
Lineage: Eukaryota; Metazoa; Arthropoda; Insecta; Diptera; Drosophilidae
Source: Ensembl